UGCCAGCAGCCGCGGUAAUACGAAGGUCCCAAGCGUUGUUCGGAAUUACUGGGCGUAAAGGGUGCGUAGGCGGUAUGGAAAGUUGGAUGUGAAAGGCAGGGGCUCAACCCUUGGACUGCAUUCGAAACUCCCAUACUGGAGUACUGGAGAGGAAACUGGAAUUCUCGGUGUAGCAGUGAAAUGCGUAGAUAUCGAGAGGAACACCAAUGGCGAAAGCAAGUUUCUGGACAGUUACUGACGCUGAGGCACGAUGGCUAGGGUAGCGAAAGGGAUUAGAUA
RNAcentral lists this ribosomal RNA (279 nucleotides) under uncultured bacterium. RNAcentral's name for it is "partial 16S ribosomal RNA". It matches the Rfam family "Bacterial small subunit ribosomal RNA", at positions 506 to 784 of the family's 1533-position model. The record is from RNAcentral.